This 330-nucleotide ribosomal RNA is filed under the name uncultured bacterium. RNAcentral describes it as "bacterial SSU rRNA". It matches the Rfam family "Bacterial small subunit ribosomal RNA", at positions 8 to 334 of the family's 1533-position model. The record is from RNAcentral.
AGGGUUUGAUUCUGGCUCAGGAUGAACGCUAGCUACAGGCUUAACACAUGCAAGUCGAGGGGCAGCAUGACCUAGCAAUAGGUUGAUGGCGACCGGCGCACGGGUGAGUAACACGUAUCCAACCUGCCGAUUAUUCCGGGAUAGCCUUUCGAAAGAAAGAUUAAUACUGGAUAGUAUAACGAAAAGGCAUCUUUUUGUUAUUAAAGAAUUUCGAUAAUCGAUGGGGAUGCGUUCCAUUAGCUUGUUGGCGGGGUAACGGCCCACCAAGGCAUCGAUGGAUAGGGGUUCUGAGAGGAAGGUCCCCCACAUUGGAACUGAGACACGGUCCAA